ACUUGUACAAGAACUAGACUCCAUCCGAACUUUCAUAGCGGAUGGAUAUCGGACGAGCUUCUACAAUAGACAGACUCCAGCAGUUGGAUUUCUACAAUGGCCGAUCGCCUCCGGUGUCUGCCGAACCUUCCCAAUGCCAUCUGAGGUCCACCAUCGGCCGACCCUCCACCAGAUUCUACAUGAAACCGGACUUCUCCGAUGGAUAAUUUUCAGACGAGCUUCCACAUCAGGCAAAUCCCAGACGGAUUUCUCUAGCAAUCGGACUCCUAUCGGACUUCACCAACGAAAAGUCUCCAUCCAAGCUUCUACAGCAGAUGACUUCCGCCUGUGGCAUCAGCGCCUGAGGCAUCCGACAAUAGUAGACUCAUCAGCAGCCUCGAAAAUAUCUGAGCUUCUCCUAAAUCGAUGGGAUAGAGAGCCAUUUCGCUCGAUCAGACAUCCCA
Molecule: long non-coding RNA, 443 nt
Filed under: Elaeis guineensis (African oil palm)
Lineage: Eukaryota; Viridiplantae; Streptophyta; Magnoliopsida; Arecales; Arecaceae
Description: long non-coding RNA (EGUI_LNC065593)
Source: RNAcentral